RNAcentral lists this ribosomal RNA (488 nucleotides) under uncultured bacterium. RNAcentral's name for it is "partial 16S ribosomal RNA". It matches the Rfam family "Bacterial small subunit ribosomal RNA", at positions 899 to 1397 of the family's 1533-position model. The record is from RNAcentral.
ACUCAAAUGAAUUGACGGGGACUUGCACAAGCAGAGGAUUAUGUGGUUUAAUUCGAUGGUAAACGAAGAACCUUACCAAGAUUGGAAAUUUAACUGAAUACAUGUGGAAACAUAUGUAGUCCGCAAGGACAGUUAGACAGGUGUUGCAUGGCCGUCGUCAGUUCGUGACUUGAGUUGUUCCCUUCAGUGGGGUAACGAACGCAACCCUCGUUGCCUGUUACAAGUGUCAGGCGAGACUGCCUCUUAUCAGAGGAGGAAGGUGAGGAUGACGCCAGGUCAGCAUGACCCUUUGAUAUCUUGGGCUACACACAUAAUACAAUGGCGCGUACAACGGGUCGCAAUGGAGUAAUCCGGAGCUAAUCCUUAGAAAGCGCGCCUCAGUUCAGAUUGGGGGCUGAAACUCGACCCCAUGAAGUUGGAUUUGCUAGUAAUCGCGGGUCAGCCAUACCGCGGUGAAUACGUUCUCAAGUCUUGUACACACCGCCCGU